RNAcentral lists this ribosomal RNA (496 nucleotides) under uncultured bacterium. Its description in RNAcentral is "partial 16S ribosomal RNA". It matches the Rfam family "Bacterial small subunit ribosomal RNA", at positions 28 to 507 of the family's 1533-position model. The record is from RNAcentral.
GACGAACGCUGGCGGCGUGCCUAAUACAUGCAAGUAGAACGCUGAAGGGAGGAGCUUGCUCUUCUUGGAUGAGUUGCGAACGGGUGAGUAACGCGUAGGUAACCUGCCUUGUAGCGGGGGAUAACUAUUGAAACGAUAGCUAAUACCGCAUAACAAUGGAUGACACAUGUCAUUUAUUUGAAAGGGGCAAUUGCUCCACUACAAGAUGGACCUGCGUUGUAUUAGCUAGUAGGUGAGGUAAUGGCUCACCUAGGCGACGAUACAUAGCCGACCUGAGAGGGUGAUCGGCCACACUGGGACUGAGACACGGCCCAGACUCCUACGGGAGGCAGCAGUAGGGAAUCUUCGGCAAUGGGGGCAACCCUGACCGAGCAACGCCGCGUGAGUGAAGAAGGGUUUCGGAUCGUAAAGGUCUGUUGUAAGUCAAGAACGGGUGUGAGAGUGGAAAGUUCACACUGUGACGGUAGCUUACCAGAAAGGGACGGCUAACUACGUG